CAGUAGCCACGGUAAUACGGAGGAUCCAAGCGUUAUCCGGAAUCAUUGGGUUUAAAGGGUCCGUAGGCGGUCUUGUAAGUCAGUGGUGAAAGCCCAUCGCUCAACGGUGGAACGGCCAUUGAUACUGCAGGACUUGAAUUAUUGGGAAGUAACUAGAAUAUGUAGUGUAGCGGUGAAAUGCUUAGAGAUUACAUGGAAUACCAAUUGCGAAGGCAGGUUACUAUCAAUUGAUUGACGCUGAUGGACGAAAGCGUGGGUAGCGAACAGGAUUAGAUACCCCAGUAGUCCCUGUCUCUUAUAU
This 301-nucleotide ribosomal RNA is filed under the name uncultured bacterium. RNAcentral's name for it is "partial 16S ribosomal RNA". It matches the Rfam family "Bacterial small subunit ribosomal RNA", at positions 509 to 809 of the family's 1533-position model. The record is from RNAcentral.